GACGAACGCUGGCGGCGUGCCUAAUACAUGCAAGUUGAGCGCUGAAGGUUGGUACUUGUACCAACUGGAUGAGCAGCGAACGGGUGAGUAACGCGUGGGGAAUCUGCCUUUGAGCGGGGGACAACAUUUGGAAACGAAUGCUAAUACCGCAUAAAAACUUUAAACACAAGUUUUAAGUUUGAAAGAUGCAAUUGCAUCACUCAAAGAUGAUCCCGCGUUGUAUUAGCUAGUUGGUGAGGUAAAGGCCCACCAAGGCGAUGAUACAUAGCCGACCUGAGAAGGUGAUCGGCCAAAUUGGGACUGGGACACGGCCCAAGCUCCUACGGGAGGCAGCAGUAGGGAAUCUUCGGCAAUGGACGAAAGUCUGACCGAGCAACGCCGCGUGAGUGAAGAAGGGUUUCGGAUCGUAAAACUCUGUUGGUAGAGAAGAACGUUGGUGAGAGUGGAAAGCUCAUCAAGUGACGGUAACUACCCAGAAAGGGACGGCUAACUACGUG
RNAcentral lists this ribosomal RNA (497 nucleotides) under uncultured bacterium. RNAcentral describes it as "partial 16S ribosomal RNA". It matches the Rfam family "Bacterial small subunit ribosomal RNA", at positions 28 to 507 of the family's 1533-position model. The record is from RNAcentral.